AAAGUACUCCCUCCGUCCCAAAAUUCUUGUCUUAGAUUUUUCUAGAUACGGAUGUAUCAAGUCACAUUUUAGUAUUAGAUACAUCCGUAUCUAGACAAAUCUAAGACAAGAAAUUUGGGACAGAGGGAGUAGUUG
This is a non-coding RNA of Triticum aestivum (bread wheat), 135 nucleotides long. NCBI's taxonomy places the organism in Eukaryota, Viridiplantae, Streptophyta, Magnoliopsida, Poales, Poaceae. The record is from Rfam.